RNAcentral lists this microRNA precursor (84 nucleotides) under Bombyx mori (domestic silkworm). RNAcentral's name for it is "mir-2807 microRNA precursor family". It matches the Rfam family "mir-2807 microRNA precursor family". Lineage: Eukaryota; Metazoa; Arthropoda; Insecta; Lepidoptera; Bombycidae. The record is from Rfam by way of RNAcentral.
UUAACUCAAAUUUGUAUGGAGUUGGAACGUUUGCCUACGUUUGCCGCUAGGGGCGCUGUUCCAACUGCAUACAAAUUUGAGUUA